UACAGAGGUCUCAAGCGUUGUUCGGAUUCAUUGGGCGUAAAGGGUGCGUAGGUGGCGAGGUUAGUCAGGUGUGAAAUCUCGGGGCUCAACCCCGAAACUGCACUUGAUACUGCCUUGCUAGAGUACUGGAGAGGAGAUUGGAAUUUACGGUGUAGCAGUGAAAUGCGUAGAUAUCGUAAGGAAGACCAGUGGCGAAGGCGGGUCUCUAGACAGUUCCUGACGCUGAGGCACGAAAGCCAGGGUAGCAAACGGG
RNAcentral lists this ribosomal RNA (253 nucleotides) under uncultured bacterium. Its description in RNAcentral is "partial 16S ribosomal RNA". It matches the Rfam family "Bacterial small subunit ribosomal RNA", at positions 524 to 776 of the family's 1533-position model. The record is from RNAcentral.